Molecule: ribosomal RNA, 497 nt
Filed under: uncultured bacterium
Lineage: Bacteria
Description: partial 16S ribosomal RNA
Rfam family: Bacterial small subunit ribosomal RNA
Source: RNAcentral
GAUGAACGCUGGCGGCGUACCUAAUACAUGCAAGUCGAGCGAACAGACGAGGAGCUUGCUCCUCUGACGUUAGCGGCGGACGGGUGAGUAACACGUGGAUAACCUACCUAUAAGACUGGGAUAACUUCGGGAAACCGGAGCUAAUACCGGAUAAUAUAUUGAACCGCAUGGUUCAAUAGUGAAAGACGGUUUUGCUGUCACUUAUCGAUGGAUCCGCGCCGCAUUAGCUAGUUGGUAAGGUAACGGCUUACCAAGGCGACGAUGCGUAGCCGACCUGAGAGGGUGAUCGGCCACACUGGAACUGAGACACGGUCCAGACUCCUACGGGAGGCAGCAGUAGGGAAUCUUCCGCAAUGGGCGAAAGCCUGACGGAGCAACGCCGCGUGAGUGAUGAAGGUCUUCGGAUCGUAAAACUCUGUUAUUAGGGAAGAACAAAUGUGUAAGUAACUAUGCACGUCUUGACGGUACCUAAUCAGAAAGCCACGGCUAACUACGUG